CCAGUCAGUGCUCUGAUUGCAGUUGUGUACAGACCUCCAGACUACACUCUGAGGCCAUUCCUGAAAAACCUGAGCUGAGACACUCAGGACUGAACAGACUGCACAGUUUCUGUGACCGAGCCUCCAAAACAUCUUCUUUGAAACCACACAUGAUAGAAGGGCUUUAUAUUUGCAGCAGCACUACUACAGUCGGCAGGAAUGUUGCUGCAGGAAAACAUCCCUGCAGAUCACCAUCAUUGUCAGACUGACUAUGCCUCCUCUGUGCAGUGUCAAGAUCCUCCCUAAAUGAGUGUUCCUCAGCUAUCCUGCUUCUGUGCUGCUUGCCACACAUCAAACACUGGCCGGAUGACAGGGAGGAUCCACUCUGAAGUCACUGGACAUGAUGAGGAUCAUAUGGGACUUUAUAGUUUCACAGAAAUGUUGUGCUCUUUGAUUACAGGUUUUAAAUGGACAUAAUGACUGCCUCUCUCUGAUCUGACAGGCUAAAGGAUUGUUUUCAUUGUUAGUGCUCUGUACAGUGUAUGCUUAUUUAAUAUUUCAUCACAGAGCAAACCUUUAUUUAUUUAACAUAUUUUUAUUUUGUUUUAAUGUUGAAUUAAC
Oreochromis niloticus (Nile tilapia) is the source of this 600-nucleotide long non-coding RNA. RefSeq lists it as uncharacterized. The record is from RefSeq and is a predicted model, not a curated record. The transcript is spliced from 4 exons. Lineage: Eukaryota; Metazoa; Chordata; Actinopteri; Cichliformes; Cichlidae.